Long non-coding RNA from Aethalodelphis obliquidens (Pacific white-sided dolphin), 893 nucleotides. RefSeq lists it as uncharacterized. The transcript is spliced from 2 exons. NCBI's taxonomy places the organism in Eukaryota, Metazoa, Chordata, Mammalia, Artiodactyla, Delphinidae. The record is from RefSeq and is a predicted model, not a curated record.
AUGGUUUCAUAGCGUAUGCAGAUGUCAAAUCACUGUUUAGUAUAUUUGAAACAUGUAUUGUACAUCAAUUAUACUUCAAAAAAAUAGAAAAAAGCUAAUGUGUCUUAAGAAUACAUUGAUAUAAAUGCAACAUUCGAUAUCAAUAUCAUAAAAACAGAUGGUUGGUUCUUCAUCUCUUCAAUAGAAUAUUCUGUUUUGGACUUUGGGCCAAAUUUUAGGAAGAACCUUUGACAACGUAGGAUGCCUAUAUGAGAAAGCAGAACCGGGCCAAAGGACCUGAGACAACUUUCUGAAUAACUGCUUGAUUACAAUCUUCACAUAAACACUGGAGCACUGUAACUGAGUUCAAGAAACAAUAUUUAUUGGCUUAUGAUGUUUGUCAUAAAAAAAUACACAGUAUGUUUUACUGAAGGCAGAGGUUAUGAAGAAAAGAUUAGACCAUGUGGAAACGUGUAGUGUUGGAUGUGUUGCUGUGUGUGUCCACGCUAAUCAGUAUCAACGAGAGUAUGAGUGGGCAGGUAAUGCAGUCAAAUGGAGAACAGUUCCUACUCCGAUUACAUUGAGGGGGUAAGAAGGCUACUUGUUGAAGAUAGAAAAUACCUCAUCAGUAUGGACUACCCUAGCUCCUUAGGUAUUAUUAUAUCCUCAUAUUCAAUGACCUGGGUCCAGUCCCAGCUGGCAUAAGAUCCACUUUUUAAAUAGUGCUCGAGAUUGCACCAGUGGAUGUGUUGGGAGCCACAUCCUUGUACCUGCUGGUAUACAGACAAAUUUUAGCACUAGUAAUCCAGUAGGAAGGUAAUAAAAUUAUAUUCAUAAUAAAAUGAUAUUACUAUGAAAUGAUAUUGCUGUAAACGCAAUGACAUCUUCCAACUGGUGUAUGCUUACUUCUGCUU